GAUGAACGCUGGCGGCGUGCCUAAUACAUGCAAGUCGAGCGAACAGACGAGGAGCUUGCUCCUCUGACGUUAGCGGCGGACGGGUGAGUAACACGUGGAUAACCUACCUAUAAGACUGGGAUAACUUCGGGAAACCGGAGCUAAUACCGGAUAAUAUAUUGAACCGCAUGGUUCAAUAGUGAAAGACGGUUUUGCUGUCACUUAUAGAUGGAUCCGCGCCGCAUUAGCUAGUUGGUAAGGUAACGGCUUACCAAGGCAACGAUGCGUAGCCGACCUGAGAGGGUGAUCGGCCACACCUGAACCGAGACCCCGUCCCGACUCCUACGGGAGGCCGCCGUUGGGAAUUCUGCCGCAUUGGCGAAAGCCUGACCGAGCCACCGCCCCUGGGUUAAGAAGGUCCUUCGGUUCGAAAAACCCUUUUUUAGGGAAGAACAAAUGUGUAAGUAACUAUGCACGUCUUGACGGUACCUAAUCAGAAAGCCACGGCUAACUACGUG
RNAcentral lists this ribosomal RNA (497 nucleotides) under uncultured bacterium. RNAcentral's name for it is "partial 16S ribosomal RNA". It matches the Rfam family "Bacterial small subunit ribosomal RNA", at positions 28 to 507 of the family's 1533-position model. The record is from RNAcentral.